RNAcentral lists this ribosomal RNA (253 nucleotides) under uncultured bacterium. RNAcentral describes it as "partial 16S ribosomal RNA". It matches the Rfam family "Bacterial small subunit ribosomal RNA", at positions 524 to 776 of the family's 1533-position model. The record is from RNAcentral.
UACGUAGGGUGCGAGCGUUGUCCGGAAUUAUUGGGCGUAAAGGGCUCGUAGGCGGUCUGUCACGUCGGGAGUGAAAACUCGGGGCUUAACUCCGAGCCUGCUUCUGAUACGGGCAGACUAGAGGUAUGCAGGGGAGAAUGGAAUUCCUGGUGUAGCGGUGGAAUGCGCAGAUGUCAGGAGGAACACCGAUGGCGAAGGCAGCUCGCUGGGACGGUACUGACGCUGAGGCGCGAAAGCGUGGGGAGCGAACAGG